ACUCCUACGGGAGGCAGCAGUGGGGAAUAUUGCACAAUGGGCGCAAGCCUGAUGCAGCCAUGCCGCGUGUGUGAAGAAGGCCUUCGGGUUGUAAAGCACUUUCAGUCGUGAGGAAGGUAGUGUAGUUAAUAGCUGCAUUAUUUGACGUUAGCGACAGAAGAAGCACCGGCUAACUCCGUGCCAGCAGCCGCGGUAAUACGGAGGGUGCGAGCGUUAAUCGGAAUUACUGGGCGUAAAGCGCAUGCAGGUGGUUUGUUAAGUCAGAUGUGAAAGCCCGGGGCUCAACCUCGGAAUAGCAUUUGAAACUGGCAGACUAGAGUACUGUAGAGGGGGUUAGAAUUUCAGGUGUAGCGGUGAAAUGCGUAGAGAUCUGAAGGAAUACCGGUGGCGAAGGCGGCCCCUGGACAGAUACUGACACUCAGAUGCGAAAGCGUGGGAGCAAACAGGAUUAGAUACCCCUGGUAGCGACUGA
RNAcentral lists this ribosomal RNA (472 nucleotides) under uncultured bacterium. Its description in RNAcentral is "bacterial SSU rRNA". It matches the Rfam family "Bacterial small subunit ribosomal RNA", at positions 335 to 803 of the family's 1533-position model. The record is from RNAcentral.